GCCGGGCAGCCACGCGCCAGUCGAUAAGGCCUGAAAGCAUCUAAGGCCGAAGCGAUUCUCGAAAAUAGGC
RNAcentral lists this ribosomal RNA (70 nucleotides) under Hadesarchaea archaeon. RNAcentral's name for it is "partial 23S ribosomal RNA". It matches the Rfam family "Archaeal large subunit ribosomal RNA", at positions 2808 to 2877 of the family's 2987-position model. The record is from RNAcentral. Lineage: Archaea; Methanobacteriati; Hadarchaeota (SeqCode); Hadarchaeia (SeqCode).